This 139-nucleotide ribosomal RNA is filed under the name uncultured Bacteroidota bacterium. Its description in RNAcentral is "uncultured Bacteroidetes bacterium partial 16S ribosomal RNA". It matches the Rfam family "Bacterial small subunit ribosomal RNA", at positions 387 to 524 of the family's 1533-position model. Lineage: Bacteria; Pseudomonadati; Bacteroidota. The record is from RNAcentral.
ACCAGCCAUGCCGCGUGAAGGAUGAAGGUCCUCUGGAUUGUAAACUUCUUUUAUCUGGGACGAAACCCUCGUUUUCUAACGGGAUUGACGGUACCAGAGGAAUAAGCACCGGCUAACUCCGUGCCAGCACCGCGGUAAU